CCUACGGGCGGCAGCAGUGGGGAAUAUUGCACAAUGGGCGAAACCCUGAUGCAGCGACGCCGCGUGUGGGAAGACGGUCCUCUGGCUUGUAAACCACUUUCUCCAGGGACAAAGAUGACGGUACCUGGGGAGGAAGCUCCGGCUAACUACGUACCAGCAGCCGGGGUAGUACGUAGGGAGCGGGCGUUGUCCGGAAUUACUGGGUGUACAGGGAGCGUAGGCGGGGAUGCAAGUGGGGUGUCAAAACUACGGGCUCAACUGGUAGUCGCACUUAAAACUGCAGGUCUUGAGUGAAGUAGAGGCAGGCGGAAUUUGUAGUGUAGCGGUGAAAUGCGUAGAUAUUAGGAGGAACACCAGUUGCGAAGGCGGCCUGCUGGGCUUUUACUGACGCUGAGGCUCGAAAGUGUGGGGAGCAAACAGGAUUAGAUACCCGUGUAGUC
RNAcentral lists this ribosomal RNA (440 nucleotides) under uncultured bacterium. Its description in RNAcentral is "partial 16S ribosomal RNA". It matches the Rfam family "Bacterial small subunit ribosomal RNA", at positions 338 to 795 of the family's 1533-position model. The record is from RNAcentral.